RNAcentral lists this unclassified non-coding RNA (538 nucleotides) under Hevea brasiliensis (rubber tree). The record is from RNAcentral. Lineage: Eukaryota; Viridiplantae; Streptophyta; Magnoliopsida; Malpighiales; Euphorbiaceae.
UAGCAUAUCAAGUUCAUCACGAAGCGCAGAAGCAGCACGGUGAUCUCCUGUGUCUUUCAAGUUAACUUGUCUUAAAUCUGGAGAGAAUCUUUUCUCUCUCAGCUUGUUGGUUGGAGGAUCGAUUGGUGGUAUAGGUGAAGGAGUCCUUACAGGCUGUUGGGUACUUGGUAUUGACGGUGGAGGACGAGAUGGGACAGUUGGUCUUCCUGCUGAUGUUGAACGAAGAGACGGCAAUUCCUCAACAAUAUUCCUAGCUAGCGCAGGUGAAGAUGAUCUGGUAUUUAACUUAGCCGACUGAAUAACAGGGUUGAUAGCAUUGCUAUCACUAGAGCUAUUGGCAGCAGUGCUGACCUUGGACCUGGAAAAAGAGGGAGGUGGAGGAGCGGAAAAUCGGAAUCCUAGAUCAUCAUCACCAUCUUCAUCGUCAUCAUUGCCAGUGGCUGCUUGAGAGGCCAUGACUUGAGCAAGGCGCUGGGCAGCAGCUUUGGCAGCAACAUUCUGAGUGCGCUUAAUGUUAGACAUUCCGGUGAUAGAGGAA